Molecule: RNA transcript, 2747 nt
Organism: Corticium candelabrum
Lineage: Eukaryota; Metazoa; Porifera; Homoscleromorpha; Homosclerophorida; Plakinidae
Gene name: beta-1,3-galactosyltransferase 5-like
Exons: 10
Source: RefSeq, a predicted model, not a curated record
CUGUAGUAAUGACUGGACGUGGAAGCGCCAUCCCAAAGUAUAGAUUUUAUCUUGACUUUCCCGAGCAGUGGGACGAUGUCUUCAGCUACAUGGAUAAUGCAGUGACGCAAUGGUGUCAGCGACUCAACAACACCUUUUUGGUUGUGUUGGAUCAACUUGUAACCUUUGGGACGUCAAUUGAGGUUGGAGUCGUCAUAUCUUUCUUUUUCUUUUAUCUUGGACUGGACAGUUUGGUAAUAGCUGCUUCCUCAGUGAUGAUGGCACUUGUUGUGGUCACUCAGGUUCCUAAACGGUUUCUGUGGAGAAGACGACCGCAUGUUGCUGGGAGAGCAAAAAUGUUAUACGAUGGAACUCUGACGUCAUCGUUUCCUUCACGUGCUGUCACCUGCUGUGUCGUGUAUCUGUACCUUCUUUCGGGAAUCCUUGAGAUACUGAGCAGGCCAGAGAAAGAUCCUGUGGCUCCCUUUCGUCUUCUUUGGUCACCUGCAUUUAUACUGUUUACCAUCUGGGCCGUUGUCUGGACUAGCAUAGCACGAAUUGGAGUGGGAGUUCACUACGCGUCUGAUUGUAUUGCUGGAGUUGUACAGGCUGGGAUUGUAUGUUAUAUUGCUGAAACGACGUACUACAUCAUAGUGAAUGCCUGCUGUCAAGGAGCAGCUCCAUUUCACGCGGAUCGUGCUCUCUUACUUCAUCAUAUCAACUGGCCUGGACUGGCUAUUGCAACCAUUACAGGUGUCGUUGCCGUGUUUGUUCUCGAAUCUGAUCUUGUUCAGUAUUGGAGCAAAGCACACUUUGUUUUGGGGUUGUUGUACCCUGUUCUUUGUGGCUUGUUUCUGUUCUGCUGUGGUUAUCACCAAUUGCCACGAGCAAAUAUGUACAAUAUCGACAUUCAUCAGUUCCUAUUGGCUACUGCUGUACCUCUGCUGUUGCUGGUUGUUGGAAGAAACUGUCUGCCUCACUCUUCUGGUAAAACUGCUGCAGCUUCAUUUCUACUCUUGCAUGUGACAGGAAUGAUUGUCAUCAUGUGGCAUAGGUUGUUUCAUGACUCUAUAAUCUAGUCUGUCUGUUGUUAUAUAUGUGGUCAUUUUGUCAUAUCUUUGUUUUAUCUGUUGGGAUAAACUGACAGCUCUCUAGGAGGUAAAGAGUAACUUGCAUUGUAAUACACAGUAUAAUGGCAUAUUUGUAGAUAAACUAGUGUACCACAUUGUGGCAACCAAACUGAUGUUUUAAAAAUUCUGCUAUGCCAGUUAACUUUUAGCAUUCCACUACAUCUGGUGGCGAAGGCUAUAUAGCUACGUACAUCUACGCAGGUUUUUGUGUAAUUGCAUUUUACAGGUGUGUGUGUCAUCCUGAGGGAUGCAUCAAGUGAAUCCUCAUAAAUUAAUGAUGUUUGUUUAAACGUCAUUACGUCACGCCUAUGGAAGUGAACAAGAAGUGGAGCAGCGCUCCUCCUCUGAAGCGUCUUUUUGUGUUGCUUGUAGUUGUGCCUUCGCUGUUGGUGGCGAUAGUGGCAACGUGGCGUAUGCACAUUGAUCACAGGAAGCCCAAACAGAGUGAUGUGUCUUCACGGAUAGCUGUGCUAGCUGCUACCAGUAGUGGUGCCAAAUCACACAAUGUAAAGAUGGAACAGAAAGGGACGAUGCAACCAAUUACUGCAAAAGCUAUACAGAGGCAGCAUACUCCAGCAGCUCCCACACUUCGCAAUAUCUCUGCUCCGUGCCCAGAUAUAAAAAAGCCUCUUCUGCCACUUACAUCUGAACAACCAAAGGGUUGUGAAAACAGUGACACAUUUUAUGCAUCUCCUCUUUUCUGUCAUUCUUCUAAUAAACCGAUUGUCGUCAUUCUUAUUCUGUCAUACAUUGGAAACUUUCAAAUAAGACAUCAGGCUCGGACAGUGUGGUUACGAUCUCGUUUCAAGAUGAAUUCUGAAUUUGUUAAAAGUCAUCCUUGGGCAUAUGUGUUUGUGGUUGGUAAAGCUCAUGGAAAGGAUGCAGAAAACUUAGAAAAAAUGGCAGCAAUAGAGCAAUGCCAUUAUAAAGACAUUUUGCAAGUUGAUGUGGUAGAGAACUAUUACAAUCUUACUUGGAAGAAACUUGAGGCAUGGAAGUACUUGAUCAAAUCACAAUUGGAUUUUGAAGUGAUGUUGAAGGGAGACGAUGAUUCAUUCAUCAAUAUUCAGCUUGUUUUUGAGUGGUUAGAUGAGGUGAUUCCUAAAGUGUACAUUAGAAGCAAGAAAUCAAACUCUUCUCUCCAUGUGAUGUAUGGAGGAUUGUGUCCACUUAGAGGUUCUCCAAUAAGAUCCAAAGGUAGUAAAUGGCAUUUGUCUGUUGAACAUUAUGCACCAAAAUCUUUUCCACCAUUUUGUUUUGGUGCCGGUUACUUUGUAUCAAGGGACUUGAUAAAAGCUCUACUCAAAGUUUCAGACUUGAUGUAUUCAUUCAGAUUAGAAGAUGUUCACACUGGAUUGUUAGUGGCUAAGACUGGUCUUGUUCCAGCUGCUGAUGUGAUGGGUACUAACAGAGUCUGUAAUGCUGAUUACCAGUCUUGUACCAAGAUACUGUGUAGUCAGCCCUAUGUACUUAUGACUUCAAAUGCAGCAAGAAGGGCUGCACUGUUUAGGAACUUUAUGCAAGCUAAAUGCUAAAUGUCAAUUAGCUUGUAAAUAUAGUGGUAGCUAUACAAUAUAUGUAUAUGAGUUUUAUUGCUUUAUAGCCUGGGCCUGCAAAUGUAAUGAAGAGUAUUUAUAU